RNAcentral lists this ribosomal RNA (407 nucleotides) under uncultured bacterium. RNAcentral describes it as "bacterial SSU rRNA". It matches the Rfam family "Bacterial small subunit ribosomal RNA", at positions 28 to 428 of the family's 1533-position model. The record is from RNAcentral.
GACGAACGCUGGCGGCGUGCCUAACACAUGCAAGUCGAACGAGAUCCAUGGGAGCUUGCUCCCGGAAGAUCUAGUGGCGAACGGGUGAGUAACACGUGAGAAACCUGCCCUGGAGUGGGGAAUAACUCGGGGAAACUCGAGCUAAUACCGCAUACCCUCGGAUGGUCGCAUGGCCGACCGAGGAAAGAUUUAUCGCUCUAGGAGGGUCUCGCGGCCUAUCAGCUAGUUGGUGGGGUAACGGCCUACCAAGGCAACGACGGGUAGCUGGUUUGAGAGAACGAUCAGCCACACUGGGACUGAGACACGGCCCAGACUCCUACGGGAGGCAGCAGUGGGGAAUCUUGCGCAAUGGGCGAAAGCCUGACGCAGCAACGCCGCGUGCGGGAUGACGGCCUUCGUGGUUGUAA